UUGAGAGUAAUCUCUCUGGUAGUCGGGCCAUUUGUGAGUAAUCUCUCCAAGAAUAGGGCCACAUGGAGAGUAAUUUCUCCGGUAGUCUAGUCAUUUUGAGAGUAAUCUCUCCAAGAAUUUGGCCACAUUGAGAGUAAUCUCUCCGGUAGUCAGGCCAUAUUGAGAGUAAUCUCUCCGAUAGUCUGGUCACAUUGAGAGUAAUCUCUCCGGUAGUCGGUCCACGAGAAUAAUCUCUCCGAUAUUCGGAAAAGGAUGAGUACUCAUCCCCUCACAUCCCAAGAUUGUCUUUUUUAUGCAUGAAUCAUUUUAUUGAACAAGAACAUAUCUUUCUUGCUUGAUCUACAAAAAAAAGACAACAAAACGAGAAAAGCACAAGAAAAGAAGAAAUUAUCUUCGCGUUAAUUCUUUCGAAUUUACAAACCUAGACAAGUGGUUUGUGAAGACUACGAAUUAAUGCUCAACAAAUAUGAGCAAGGGGUUUAUAUAGAUUUGAGAAGAAGUAGUUCACUAUUUGACGAUGUGGGAACUGCAGUUGUUUGAUACUAACACGGACGAGGAGAAGAUAAUCGAAAAGGAUUCGGAUCCGUAUAAUUCGUCUAUGACAAGAGUUUGGAUUUGUUUGGCGGCGAAAGCAACUUGUUUACAACAAGGAAUUGUCCAAAAGCAAUUACGUAAGGAAAUCACUUUGAAAAUGAUGCAAACCGUUAUCACGUUGAUGCACUGAAGGUUCAAUAUGUUAGUGAAUUAUGAAAAAGUGGCAUUUCCAAGUAAUAUUAGAUUCAAUCACCAAUAUAUGCCUAAUCAAUGUGGCUUAGCUUUAAUCCUUUCUAUGGAAUAUACUUACUUUUAAGCCACAUGGUUAAACCAUUUUAAGAAGUUGGCAUAAUUUAUGCAAUACAAAUGAACCAUAAAAAUAUUUGUUUUGUGGUAAGUUGAUUCGAG
This 942-nucleotide long non-coding RNA is filed under the name Nicotiana benthamiana. RNAcentral describes it as "long non-coding RNA (NBEN_LNC014373)". The record is from RNAcentral. Lineage: Eukaryota; Viridiplantae; Streptophyta; Magnoliopsida; Solanales; Solanaceae.